Sphaeramia orbicularis (orbiculate cardinalfish) is the source of this 522-nucleotide long non-coding RNA. RefSeq lists it as uncharacterized. NCBI's taxonomy places the organism in Eukaryota, Metazoa, Chordata, Actinopteri, Kurtiformes, Apogonidae. The record is from RefSeq and is a predicted model, not a curated record. The transcript is spliced from 2 exons.
CUAAACCAGAGCCACAAAGGGAGUGUUGUUUGCUGGUAUGCAAAUGGGUACUCUUGAGGUAAAAAAAAUUUUAAAAACUCUUUGACUGCAGCAGAGUGAGCUGCCUCCUCUCCUGGAUGGUUAAGUCAUCACCACUCAGACUGUGCUACAGAGAUUCAGCUUCACCGUGGUAAGAAAAAAAGUAUCACCACUUGCAUGACUCUCUUCAGUGGUACAUGUUGCUGUCAUUACCUGUGAGAUUAUUUUUUCAGUUUGUCUUCAAAGUGCAAUAUAUUUCUACUUAUCAAAGAAAACAGAGAAAAUGGAGCAGAUGUAGUCUCCAGUUGCUGCUAUAUGCCUUAUAACUUUGGCCUACAUCAACAGUGAACAUUCAUGUUGCCUCCCAUUUGACUUUGAUGAUAGUUACGUCGCUUAUUAUCGGGUUUACUCAUUUGGCAUUUGCAAGUCAUAAAUGGGUCAAUACUUCCCCCUUUUUACAUGUCAUCACUGUCGCCUGGGAAGUAAAUAAACUAUAAGAACUGA